Molecule: long non-coding RNA, 6725 nt
Filed under: Vitis vinifera (wine grape)
Lineage: Eukaryota; Viridiplantae; Streptophyta; Magnoliopsida; Vitales; Vitaceae
Description: long non-coding RNA (VVIN_LNC002049)
Source: RNAcentral
CACUAAGGCUGCUACUUCUAAAUAAGUGAAUAAAUAUAGCAGUUGUACCAAACAGGUUAGCUCAGCGCACCAUUGUUCCAUCUGCAUCUUGUGUCUAUGUUUAUUAAUUGUUAUGGCAAAUGCUACACAUGUUUCCAGUAAAUUCUUCAUUUCUGAUUAAGGAGUGCUGUGUUGUUAUUUCUUUUCUGCUUUAUUUGAUCAAGUUUAUUCAAACCUAAUGAUCAUAAAUAUUCUUCACCCUUUUUUAUUAGUGUUUCUUUUGGACUGUAAUUGUUGGGAUUGAAUGACCCAGUGUGUGUGAUUGUAAAAAGUGUUUUUAGUAUUUUUAAUAUUUAAAAAUAUUUUAUUUUUAAAUAUUAAAAACACUUUUAAGAAUCACUGUAAAACGAAUUUUAAUCUCUAAAUAUCCUUAUUUAAAAUCUUGGAAACCCUUGCAUUCUCGGAAAUUUCAUGAUUGUGAUAAAAAAAAAAAGUCAUAAUCAGAUCUCUUCUUGGAAAAUAAAAAGAAAUGAGAAAUGACUUAUUUAAAAAUAAUUUUAAAAACAAUUCUAUGAUAUUUUCUAAAACAAGUGUUUGUUAAAAGCUUAGAAUAUUUUCAACUAGAUCAUUUUCAAAUAUUUCUUAAAAAUAAUAUUUAUUUAUCUUAUUUUUAAUUGUUUUCCAUAAUUUUAUAUUAUUUUUAAGAGCAAUACAAAAAUUGUUUUUAAACAUCACGGAAAAAAUUACUAAAAUUUGAAAACACCUUAUUGAACAAAUUCUUAAAGAAUUAUUUAUUGGAAAAAAAAUUAUCAAACAUGUUAUUGAGCUUGAAUAAUAGUUUUUUUGCAUUUUAGAAAAAAAAAUUAUUUUUAAAAAUUAGUUCACCGAAGAAGCUAUUAAGAAAGAAACGAGGAAAACAAUGGAUAUAGUUUACAUUUUGCGAAAAAAGAAAAAAGGCACAGGCCCAAAGAAUAUGGUAUGAAGACCCAAACAACGGAUAUAAUUAUUAUUUUUUUAAUUUAUUUAAUAAUUAUUUACAAAAAAUAAAAAAAUCGUUUUGGAAAAAACAAAAGAAAGAUGACUUGUAAAUAAAAUUAAUUUAAAAAUUAACACAAUAACAAAAUUAUUUAUUUUAAAAUUUUAAAAAAUAAAUUGAUUAUAAAUUUGUUUUUUUUUUUUCUAAACUUAAUUUUCACAUAAAAUUGAUAAUUUUUUUUUCUUUUUUAAAAACAAACAAAAAGUAAGAGAUAAAAUUUAAAACUUAAAAAUAUUUAUUAUUCAUCUUAUACGUAAAAAAAAUAAUAUUAAACUAAGUAUGUUUAAUUUAUAGUCAUAAUUAAUUAAAUUAAUUUAAAGAUAAAAUUAAAAAUAAAGACCAAAAUAUUUUUUAAAUCAAUAUCUAAUUUAAUAUAAAAUAAUAUUUUUUCAUAUCAAAUUCUAAACAUAAUUUAUACUUUUAUAAAUAUUAUUAUUGAAAAAAAUAUAUUCCAAUAAUUAUAAUUAUUUUUAUAUAUUAAAUUUAGUAGAUAAAAGUAAUUAAUUUUAUAAUACAUAUAUUUAUAAUAAUUAUAUCAUUGUAUAAAUCCUACAUGUUUUUUAAUUUUUUAGGAUGAGCAAAAAAUGAAUAGAAAGAAGAACACUUCGAUAUGAAAAUCAAUAAAGACUUUGAAGAAAUCCCCCAGUUAAAUCUGGAGUAGUCACAAUGGUCUCGCUUAAAACUCAUAUAACUUUAACAGAACUUCUAGAAAGCACAUAGACUUUCAAAGAGGCUUUUUUUAUAUGUACAAUAAAAACUUAAUGCACAAUUGAAUUUGAAAUCUAAAAUUUCAUUCAAAACAGUUAAACUUUACAAAAACUUUGAAAGAAAUAAAACUUACAAUCUUUAAAGCAAGCUUUACAACAAAACUUUGAGCUUUUUCAAUACAAGGCUAUCUUUCAGAGGGAAAUCUCACUUUUCUCUCACUAGAAUUCUCUCUAAAACUUGUAAUGUCUUACCAAGAGAAGUGGAGUCCUUUUAUAGACUUUUUGAAUGGAUUUGAAGAUUUUUGAAAUCCACGGAUUUGAAAUCUUUCGAAUCCAUCGAAAGUUAAUUGUCUUUUUGUGCAGUUGUCUUUGAAUUUAAAAGUUGGUUUUGAAGCCCACCGUUUUAGUCCACCGAAUUGGAGAGCGGUUUUACUGACUCAUCAGUCUCACACCCACUGAUUUGAUCCAUGGUUUUGAAGAGCGGUUUGAAUUAUGGAUUUGAAUGGUUUAUGAACAUGUCACUUUCAUUAACCCAUGUGAUCCCUUUCGGAUUUAAAAAAAUUUGAAAGCCGCAAAUAGUUGACAUAAUUGGAAACACCUGAGGUCUGCAAGUAGUUAAGACUUCGUGCUUUAAGUUCUUUGAGGAGGAGAAGAUCCUUUGAAAAACUAGGAUGCGAGUAACCCAUGUCUCUGGUAACAUCAUCAUAUGCCAGAUCACGAACAGAGCAUUUGAUCGGUAAUCCGAGUUGUCGUUUUUGAAGAACUUUGAAGACUGAGUUUGAAGAGGUCUUGGAUGCAUCAACCCAAGGGUGUGUAUGGGAGUCCAUGGCACAUGUCUUCGUUGACAUCCCCUAAGAAAGCAAAGGAUGCAGUAUCAUCAUCAGAACCAGAGUCAAAAAACCAAGACAAAGUUUCUGAAGCUUUUUCCUUUAAAAGUUUGAGAUGCUUCUUAUACUCCUUAUUAGAAGGAAAAGAAGUUUGUGACAAAUGAAUAGCAUCAGGAGGGAUUGGCAUUGAAACCUUUGAAGAAGAAGGCUUUGAAGGAGACUUCUUUGAAGAUAUCCAUUGACAGAUAUUAGGAAUCUAUUGUGAAUUUGAAGGGACAAAGUUUGUCCACCAUUUGACUUUGAAUUCCCUUGUCAAAUGCGUGGGAAAAACAAUACUUUGGAACAAGAAGUCGUAACCAAGUGACUACCAUGUUCAUCAAAGUAGUUAUAUCCAUCAAGAAUUUGAGGACAUAAAAUAUCUUUAAUGGAGCCAAAAAAUAGCCACCAUUCUUGGAACCAAUUUGGAAAAUCAAUUUGAUUUUUGAUUUUGAACAUCCUUUUGAAGGAUUUCUUUUGCACUUUUGCAAUCAACACGAAGAAUAAAUUUUUUAUUGAAAACAUCUUCUUGAAAUUUUUGAAUGCAUAAGACAAUUGCUAAGAUUUCUUUUUUGAUGGUUGAAUAAUUUUCUUAGGGUCCACUCUAUAUUCCAGAAUGAAAUCGGACAAUGGAGAUUUGAUUUUGAAAUUCUUGUUUGAGUAUACCACCAUAUCCUAUAUUAGAGGCAUCUGUGUAUAAUAGGAAAGGCUUCUGGGUUAAGAAUACCUAAACAAGGAAGACUCUUAACUUGUUUUUUGACUAAUUUGACUAUGUUUGUGUGUUCUUGUGUCCAAGGCUUUGGAUUUUGUCUAGGCCUAGCAAACAAAGGUUUAAUAGUGGUUCUAAGGUUAGAAUAGAAGUCUGACACAUAGUUUAAGCUUCCUAAAUACCUUUGAAGUUGAGUUUUAUCCUUAAUUUCAUCGGAAAAUUUGCUAGAAAACUCUAUUGACCUUUGAAUAGGUUUGAUAGUACCUUGGUAGAUUUCAAAUCCUAGAAAUCUAGUCCUAGUUUGAAAUAGUUUAAUCUUAGGGGCGGAGAGAACUAAGCCAUUUUCCCUAACAAUUUUUUGAAAAUUUUUUAAGUGUUUGAAGUGAUGUUCAAUAGAAUUUGAAAAUAUAAGAAUAUCAUCAAUGUAUACUAAGGAAAAGUUAGUAUAAGGAUUGAAAACAUCAUUCAUUAUAUUUUAAAAUUCUGAAGGAGCAUUCUUCAAGGUAUAAGGCAUCACAUUCCAUUUAUAAUGCCCAAAUGAAACAGUGAAAGCAGUUUUAUACUUAUCUUUUUCUUGAAGUUGAAUUUGCCAAAAUCCCGACUUCAUAUCAAAUUUUGAGAAAAUUGAAGCAUUAUGAAGGCGUCCUAUAAGGUCUCUCUUAUUAGGUAUAGGAUACCUUAUCCAUUUGAGAACCUUAUUUAAAGGCUUGUAGUUAAUAACAAGUCUUGGAGCACAUUUUUCAAUUUCUGAGGGUUUUUAAACAUAGAAAAUUGCACAACUCCAAGGAGAUUGACUCUUUCUAAUUAGAUUUUUGUCUAAUAAAUCUUUUAUUUCUUCUUUACAAUACUCAAGCAAUUGAACGUUCAUUUAAAUUGGUCUUGGUUUAGUAGGAAUUUGAUUUUCAUCAAAUACAUCAACAUAGGGCAAGGAGACUUUAUGUUUCUUUCUAUUCCAAAAAGCAUUGGGAAUAGAAGAAUAUAAAUCCUUUUCAAUUUGAUUUUUAAUCUUCUCCACUCUUGUUUGAAUAUCUUUUUGCAAAAGGUUUUCUUCUAUUCUUUUGUAAUAUAUUUCUUUUCUUAGAAAUUUGAUUUGUUGCUUUUUCUUUUGAAUUAAAUUUACUUGAUUAUCCAAAAUAUUCAAUUCUUUUAUCUUUGGAGAACUAAUAAAUUUAAAGCAAAUUUCUUGUUGGUCCAAAACAGUUUUAAUUCCUUCUUCGUCUACUCUAAAAGGAUAGAGGAGAGAAAGGAAGAGGGGUGCUAGAAUUAUUUCUUUGUUCACGUCUUUUACAAGUAAAAUACAUUAUUAAUAUAUAUUAUUAGUUAAAAUAUUAUUAAAAAUAAGAAAAAUGAAAACAAAAAUAUUUUUGGAAACCUUUUGUUGAAGAGACAAUUUUUUCCAUGAAUUUUUUUGUUUUUCCUUGAGAAAUGGUUUCUUCCAAUUCCUUCAUCUUAUGAAAUCGUUUGUUUCUUAUGUAUAAUUUUAUUUUAUUUUAUUUUAUUUUUUGGAUAAAAAAUAAAUCAUCCUCUCCAAACACAAUUUAUAGUCUUCCAAAAAGUAGAAUAGAUUGAAUUGUUUUUUUAUAAAUAAGUUUACACUUAUCAAAAAUCCUAUUCCUGAGGCGGUUGACGACACCUUUCUCAAAGCAUCUAAGGAGAACCAAUCAUUGUGUGAUCAUAACACGCCGACUUUAUUACUAAAGGCCUUAAUAAUUAUAAAGUGAUGGUUAUUGAUUAUUCCUUCAAAUUCCAUUUCCAGAAGAGUAUCCAAUAAAUAGGAACGGUUACCCUCUGCCUGAGCAUUGCAACUCUCUCUCUAGAAGUCUCUGAUUGUACACUGAAAAACGAAUCGGAGCUCCAAUGGCGACGGCGGAGAAGUCGGUGAUGGUCGUCGGGAUCGACCACAGCGAACACAGCUUGUAUGCCUUUGAGUGGACUCUCGAUCACUUCUUUGCUCCUUUCCCUGGUACCGCUCCUUUCAAGCUCGUUAUUGUUCACGCUAAACCCUCUCCCGCCACCGCAAUCGGACUCGGCGGACCUGGUAACAACCUGAUUCAGAUCCAUUUCCUUUCUUGCCUUGUGGAUUUUAGGCGGUUUGAUUUUGUGAACUUUUCAGUUGUUUGUUCGUUAGGGAGUACUGUUUGUUCUGAAUUUUGAUUUCCUGCCUCUUAACUUAGUAUUCUUGCGAAUUUUACUCUCAAAAGCGAGCUAACAUUGAUGGUUAGGUUCAUAGUAGUUCUGUUUGUUUGCGCGGAAAGUUUUGAAAGUGAAAAUUUUUACGAGAAAAUUUUUUCUGUUGAAAGUCGAAGUUUUCUAAUAGCUUUGCGGUUAAUUUGUCCUGGAGAAAGAAGUGAACUGAUAUUUAAUUGUUUGCAGGAGCCAUUGACGUUUUACCAUAUGUGGAGGCGGAUUUGAAGAAGACAGCUGAUAGAGUUGUAGAAAAGGCUCGCGAGAUCUGCUCCAGCAAAUCGGUAACUGCCAUAUAUCAAUCAAAAAAGAAAAAUCUUUACAAGCUUGAACCAUUAUUCCUUCAGUAUAGACCUAUGUAUAUAUGUUUGAAGAACAAUAUUUAGGAAAAACAAAUCUGCAUAAGUAUGAGAUUUUUAUUCAAAAACAAAAUUUCAAUGGAAGCAUUUAAUCAGAAAUUACAAUUACGCCACACGAAUUUCUAAAUUAGUUUAAAAUAUGUUAUUGAACGUCUUUUUCAUAAAGCAUGAUGCAGAUCAGAUUGCUUUUCUGAAUAUCGUAAUUCCGAUGCAGGUUACGGAUGUAACAGUAGAGGUGGUGGAAGGCGAUGCUAGGAACGUUAUGUGUGAGGCUGUGGAGAAACACCAUGCAUCUAUCUUGGUUGUGGGUAGUCAUGGCUACGGUGCUAUCAAAAGGUAUUCACUCUCAUCCUGUUUUCCAAAUUUCACACAUAAAUCAUGCAUAAAAGCGUAGAAUCGCAGUCUUUUAGUGUAGUAUAUAGCUUUGAUCUGACAUCAAACUGAAUGAUUUCAAGAAAUUUUAUUAUUAUUAUUAUUAUUUUUUAAUUUAUUUAUUUCUGAUGGUGGGCGCCAACUUGUGUUGCAGGGCGGUUCUAGGGAGUGUAAGUGACUACUGUGCUCACCAUGCUCACUGCACUGUGAUGAUUGUGAAGAAGCCUAAAACUAAACACUAAGGUUGCUACUUCUAAAUAAGUGAAUAAAUAUAGCAGUUGUACCAAACAAGUUAGCUCGUACACUGUUGUUACAUCUGCGUCUUGUGUCUAUAUGUAUUAAUUGUCCUUGUGCAACUUUGUUUCCAGUAAAUGCUUCAUUUCUGAUGAAGUGCUGUAUUGUUAUUUCUUUUCUGCUUUAUUUGAUCAAGUUUAUUCAAAUCUAAUGAUCAUAAAUAUUCUUCACCCUUUUUUAUUAGUGUUUCUUUUGGACUGUAAUUGCUGGGAUUGAAUGAAC